This 35-nucleotide small RNA is filed under the name Bombyx mori (domestic silkworm). RNAcentral's name for it is "ovarian small RNA-14011". Lineage: Eukaryota; Metazoa; Arthropoda; Insecta; Lepidoptera; Bombycidae. The record is from RNAcentral.
CCUGAAAUACUGCACUGAAUGUAGUUUGUUUCGGC